Molecule: non-coding RNA, 1111 nt
Organism: Manis javanica (Malayan pangolin)
Lineage: Eukaryota; Metazoa; Chordata; Mammalia; Pholidota; Manidae
Source: RefSeq, a predicted model, not a curated record
AGCAGACAGAUCACUAUGCCAGCUGUUGGGAGGAGGAAAUGAAGGUUCAGGAAGCUCAAGUAAUUUGUACAGGGUCACAAAAUAGUAUUAAAAGUCAUGUGCCCACCAUGGAAACAGUCAUGUCACCUCAAAUAUAUCUGGGAUUGAAUUCCCAGGUGCAUUCUGGGGACUCAUCACCAGCCGGCUGAGGUGGCAUCGUGUGCAGGCAUAGAAGGUCUCUGUACCACAUGAUUGGACUUCAUGAUGCUGUUUCGGGCUUAAUUCUAUUUUAAACUCUUUUCCUAUUGCACAGACUGGGGCAGCCAUAACUCAGUUAUUUAAAUGAUGUUGCACUGGCUUUCCUGGUGACCCUGGUCACAGUUUUGAAGUCUGACCAGCAGCAGACCUGGGCAUGUGUGGAUGAUGACAGAGAGAGGAAGUGAAUCUGAAAGACUGUAGAGGGGCAGAGUGGGAGACUCUGAGGCUCUGGAUCUGCGAGGAUGGGCUGUGAGCUGAGACACAGCGCCCCACUCCAGCAAGGAUGGGGAUGAAGAGCGUGGGUCAAGGGCUGCCUCUGGGACUCUGAAAUGGAAUGUAAAGAGAGGAGCUGGUGGCGCACCAGUGAAGCUGAACUCUCUGAGGCUUAGGUCCUUGGUAUUUCUGGGAGGUGGAGGGAGGUCAAAGCCAGGGAACCUCAGAAAGCAACAGGGGAAGGAAACAAGGGAGUCGGGCUAAGGAGCCUGGACGUUUCUGCACAGAACAACCAGGAGUCUUGAACAGUGCUUCCAACAGGCACUGGGGGAGUGAAGAGGGAGCUUAGGGAUAAAGAUGAUGGUGAAAGCUGGACAAUGCGGGGACCAGCAGGGUCAGAGCCACAAAACGGCAUGUGUGUGCAUGUGCAUGCAAGAGCUCAGGGCUGGGCAUAGCUUGCUGAAUGCUGCCAUGGCUCACCCAUCUCACCUGCCUGUGUACAUCUGAAUAGCUGCUCCUCACAAGUAUUGGCUCAUGCAGUGACAUCAUGAAACCAAAUUUCUUUCACUCUGGAGGAGGUAGAAAGAGCUACAAAUAAAUCUUCAGGGAUCGGUAGUUAUAAUUCUCUGUUUAUGGGGUUUUCUCUCACUGUAAAGUACAU